UGGGGAAUCUUGCACAAUGGGGGAAACCCUGAUGCAGCGACGCCGCGUGAACGAUGAAGCCCUUCGGGGUGUAAAGUUCUUUCGACGGGGACGAUAAUGACGGUACCCGGAGAAGAAGCUGCGGCUAACUACGUGCCAGCAGCCGCGGUAAUACGUAGGCAGCAAGCGUUGUUCGGAAUUACUGGGCGUAAAGAGUGCGUAGGUGGUUGGCUAAGUUUGGUGUGAAAUCUCCCGGCUCAACUGGGAGGGUGCGCCGAAAACUGGUCGACUAGAGUGUGGGAGAGGGACGUGGAAUUCCUGGUGUAGCGGUGAAAUGCGUAGAUAUCAGGAGGAACACCUGCGGUGUAGACGGCGUCCUGGACCAUGACUGACACUGAGGCACGAAAGCGUGGGGAGCAAACA
This 402-nucleotide ribosomal RNA is filed under the name uncultured Paludibaculum sp. RNAcentral describes it as "bacterial SSU rRNA". It matches the Rfam family "Bacterial small subunit ribosomal RNA", at positions 355 to 774 of the family's 1533-position model. Lineage: Bacteria; Pseudomonadati; Acidobacteriota; Terriglobia; Bryobacterales; Bryobacteraceae. The record is from RNAcentral.